AACGAACGCUGGCGGCAUGCCUAACACAUGCAAGUCGAACGAGACCUUCGGGUCUAGUGGCGCACGGGUGCGUAACGCGUGGGAAUCUGCCCUUGGGUUCGGAAUAACAGUGAGAAAUUACUGCUAAUACCGGAUGAUGUCUUCGGACCAAGGAUUUAUUGACCCGGGAUGAGCCCGCGUAGGAUUAGCUGGUUGGUAGGGUAAUGGCCUCCUAAGGCGACGAUUCUUAGCUGGUCUGAGAGGAUGAUCAGCCACACUGGGACUGAGAAACGGCCCGGAAUCCUACGCGAGGGAGGAGUGGGUGAUAGUGGAAAGUGGCGGCAGGCAUGAUCCAGCAAGGACGGGUGAGUGAUGAAGUCCUUAGGGUUCUAAAGCUCUUUUAACUGGGAUGAUAAUGACGGUACCGGGAGAAUAAGCCACGGCUAACUACGUG
This 433-nucleotide ribosomal RNA is filed under the name uncultured bacterium. Its description in RNAcentral is "partial 16S ribosomal RNA". It matches the Rfam family "Bacterial small subunit ribosomal RNA", at positions 29 to 507 of the family's 1533-position model. The record is from RNAcentral.